This 432-nucleotide ribosomal RNA is filed under the name Bacillus amyloliquefaciens. It matches the Rfam family "Bacterial small subunit ribosomal RNA", at positions 182 to 599 of the family's 1533-position model. The record is from RNAcentral. RNAcentral also lists the same sequence under 1 other name. Lineage: Bacteria; Bacillati; Bacillota; Bacilli; Caryophanales; Bacillaceae.
UGAACCGCAUGGUUCAGACAUAAAAGGUGGCUUCGGCUACCACUUACAGAUGGACCCGCGGCGCAUUAGCUAGUUGGUGAGGUAACGGCUCACCAAGGCGACGAUGCGUAGCCGACCUGAGAGGGUGAUCGGCCACACUGGGACUGAGACACGGCCCAGACUCCUACGGGAGGCAGCAGUAGGGAAUCUUCCGCAAUGGACGAAAGUCUGACGGAGCAACGCCGCGUGAGUGAUGAAGGUUUUCGGAUCGUAAAGCUCUGUUGUUAGGGAAGAACAAGUGCCGUUCAAAUAGGGCGGCACCUUGACGGUACCUAACCAGAAAGCCACGGCUAACUACGUGCCAGCAGCCGCGGUAAUACGUAGGUGGCAAGCGUUGUCCGGAAUUAUUGGGCGUAAAGGGCUCGCAGGCGGUUUCUUAAGUCUGAUGUGAAA